UCAGACAAGAGGAAGAGAGAACUCAGCAGUCUGGCUCCAGUUGGGGGAUUGAAGGGUGGAGGGGGGGCUCAGGCCUCAGACAUGGUUGUCUCUCCUUCUGGGUGGAUGCUCAUUUCUUCCCUUCCCUGCAGGGCACUCCGUUAUCCACCAGCCUGGCUCUGCAUCCACCUCCAAUAAUGGUGCCUCCCAAGUUGGCAUCUUUAACUGGAUGGCAAUAUACAUUUCAGGUUGGCUCUUUGCAGCAUUCCAGUGAUGCCUGGGAAACGCCUGGCACUGCCUGACCACAGCUGCCUCCCUCCAGGAUUUCUUUCUGUUAAUCAGGAGCUUUUGCACUUGGAAGAAGUUGCUCCUGUUCGUCUUGGGGAUGCUGUUCUUUGUGGCUUCGCUGGCUUAUGGUGAGCCUUGUGGAGUGCCCAGGUCGGCCACUCCAGAUGGGGGCGAAGGACAGGGGUUUGGGGACAGGGCUGUCAAAAUGUGGAAGAGAGAUCGUUGAAGGGGAACCUUUAGGGAGCCAAAGGGACAAAAGCCCUGGCAAAAGGGACCCAGGCCACAUGUGGGCAAGCUCUCCUGCCUCAAAUGUCAGAGUUCCAUCCU
Molecule: long non-coding RNA, 594 nt
Organism: Vombatus ursinus (common wombat)
Lineage: Eukaryota; Metazoa; Chordata; Mammalia; Diprotodontia; Vombatidae
Exons: 3
Source: RefSeq, a predicted model, not a curated record